Molecule: long non-coding RNA, 2713 nt
Organism: Manihot esculenta (cassava)
Lineage: Eukaryota; Viridiplantae; Streptophyta; Magnoliopsida; Malpighiales; Euphorbiaceae
Exons: 4
Source: RefSeq, a predicted model, not a curated record
UCACACCACAAAAUAGCAGCGAAUGCCCCCCUUAACCUUUGCCGCUCCUUCGCUGCCGAAGCAGCAGGGUUUUGCAGAAGUGGAAUGCUCGUCGGCUUUUGAUGAGUUUCUAGGGUUUCACUAACCAGCUAGCUGCAUACGAUCUUCUCAGUAGCUAUGGGGCGAUCACGAGUUCAAGUGAACAAACCUCACAAGUCCCGUUUCUUCUCCAAAUCAUCUAGUAACCUUCACAAAACAUCUCUGAAAGAUAAGAGUCGGAUUAGCAAAAUUGGAGCAGAGUGUCGCAAAGGGAGCUCGAGCUGUCCCAAUGCAGCGUAGCAAGAUGUUGCGGAAGCAGAAAUGGGCUGCCCCCUUGAAAGUGAAAAGGGCUUCUAUGGGAAUGGGUAUCUUACAUAACAAUAGUGCACUUGCAGUGCCUUCUAUGAAGAAGUUUAUUUUGGAUUUAUUAUUAUUAUUUGAAUCAGUGAUAAGUUCUCUCUGGCCUCUCUGUCUCCGUAAACCUAGAUUCGCUUGCUGAAGAUCUUCUGAAAUUAUUAUCUCCCGAAGGUGGUGGAGCUGGGUCUUCACAGUUGCAUCAUCUGAUUACAGACUAGAGCAACUGUAGGUUCCAAUUCUGCGAUUUACUUGCUUUGAACUACUAAGACUUCUGUCUAGUAGAAUGUAGACAGUUUAAUUGUCUUCGUGAUUGGAAAUUGUUUUCUGAGGCAGUUUCUGGGCAUGAACUUCCUUUGGUUUUGCCCUGUUAUGUCCUGAAAUAAACAGUAAAUAUAUUGUAAAUUCUGAUUUCUGAUUCAAAGAUUAAGCUUUAUCAUCUGAAUAUGACUGUUGACUAGAAUUUUUUAUCCUAUUGUGAAAAUUUGUGAAUAUUAUGAUUUGAUUCAUUUAGGUAUUGAAAGAACCACGAGGGGAUCUGUUAUCUUGUAUUGAAAUGGCCAAGGUACGGAAGUUUAUGGAAACUGGUGUUUGUUUAUAGGUAGUCAAGUGUACCAUAAUGCUUUUGCUUUUUGUGAACUUUUGAACACUGUUUGGAUUAGGUUGCUGGUCUGAUUGCUUAUGAUUUUGUGACCUUUUGAACACUGUCUGGAUUAGGUUGCUGAUCUGGUUGCUUUUGAGGCAUCAGCUAGUGAAAAAAGUGCUUUUGACUAUGUUGAUUCAUUUGGAAUUCAAUGCUUUCAGUGUUUACUUCUCUUGGUUUGUCAGCACUGUUGUCUUAAUUCGUUUAAGAUCUUGAUCAUUGUAAUUUUCUUUGCAUCCUGGUGAAAAUUUGAGAAAUAACAGUUGGGUAAGGUUUUACUAGCGGUGCCUGAGGUUAAAAAUUAUGUGUCAUUCUGUUUUUAGGAUCUACCGAGUGAGCUGAAAAGAAUAAACGAAUCAAAGAACGCGUGCACUUCCAGGCUUGCUAGUGAAUUUCCUAAGGAUUGCAAGUUCUACCCAGCAGAUACAAAAGAUGAGUUGCACAAGGUUGUGACUGUGAGGCCACUUUAUUUCUUGCAGCAUAGUAUGCCAUCGGUGUGCUAGUGUUUUGAAAUUUUCUUACGUAGAAAUUGUUGUCUUGUUAGAUAGGAGAAAUUAUAUGAUAAAAUGGUAUACCAACUAGAAUUUUCUAAUUGGUAUCACAAUCCACUUAUGGCCAAGUGUAUUAAAAAAAAAUAAAAGAAUGAGUUGUGUUUUAUUUUAUUUUUUCUCUUUCCUAUUCAUUUAUUAUAUAUAAUUGUUGUACUUUAAAAUCUCUCGGUAGAUUGGGGGAUUAUAACUUCUUCCUGGGACACUGUUGAAAUAUUUUUGGAUUGACGAGUGUUGAUCGAGCAGUGUUCGCUUGACCUAGACGAGCGCCAUGUCAAUCUUAGGGAUGGCAACGGGUAGGGUACCCGCGAAAUUGAGAGUACCCAAAUCCGAACCCGAUUGUAUGUAAAAUUUCCGAAUCCGUCCCAAACCCGUUUAGUAUUUUAAUUUUAAUACCCGUACCCGUCUCAAAUCCGUUUAACAAUAUCCGCACACUACUCGAACCCGACCGAACCCGAUUUUUUUACUUCAAUUCAAGCAAAUAGAAUCACAAAAUUCACUCAAAACUGAAGCCUGUUCCCACAGAAGCAUAAGAAAUUAAGAACACCCAAGGUCAUAUGCAUAGAAGAACAAAAAGAUUUUUCCAGAAGCCAAGGAAAACCAGAUCAUGGAAGCCACUAAGGUUCAUUUGGGUAAUGUUAAUUGAUAUGCUAGGAAAUUACUACUCCAGGUUCAGAUAUUAAGAUUUAAGACCAAGCCAGUAACACUCGUGAAGGAAAAAUCAACAAGAAGCAAUGAAUGAACUACUCAUAGAAAUUGCACAGAUCAAUACCUAAGCCUGUGAUGUCAAACAAUUAGCCUCCCAGUCAAUUUUCGUUACACUAGGCUGAAGAAAAGGAAAAGAGAGAGAGGAGGCGAGAGGAUAAACAGCAAAAAAUCAAACAGAAACAUAACAAAAUAGCUUCUCAAAGCAUAGAUGCCAGACUCAAAUAAUGGCAAUAUAACAAAAAAACACCAUAUACGGGUUUUUUAAAAGCUAACUCUCUAGUCUCUAUCCAAAUGAAAAAAGCAAUUUGCACCAACCCAGAGAUAGAGCAAAAUCUCAUACAAGGAAACUACAAGAACAAGAUUAAAAAUGCUAAUAUCGUGCCAAUUCAAUAAUACACAAAGCGCACAAGUGAUAAAUAAAAAAAAUAAAAAGAAAAAAAAA